UGAAUACGAGACGCUACGGCGUCGAAGCAGUCGAUGUCAUACUUCCAAGAAAAGCUUGCAAUGUCAUAAACAAAUAAUGCCUGUACCAUAACCGACACAGGUGGGUAGGUAGAGUAUACUAAGGGGCGCGAGAUAACUCUCUCUAAGGAACUCGGCAAAAUGACUCCGUAACUUCGGGAGAAGGAGUGCCUUAUUUAUAAGGUUGCAAUAACAAGAUCCAAGCAACUGUUUAUCAAAAACACAGGUCUCCGCUAAGUCGUAAGACGAUGUAUGGGGGCUGACGCCUGCCCAGUGCCAGAAGGUUAAAGAAGUUGGUUAGCAUCCGCGAAGCUGAUAACUGAAGCCCUGGUGAACGGCGGCCGUAACUAUAACGGUCCUAAGGUAGCGAAAUUCCUUGUCGGGUAAGUUCCGACCCGCACGAAAGGCGUAAUGAUUUGGAUACUGUCUCGGAGAGGGACUCGGUGAAAUAGACUUGUCUGUGAAGAUGCGGACUACCUGCACCUGGACAGAAAGACCCUAUGAAGCUUUACUGUAACUUGAAAUUGAAAUUGGACUUUAUUUGCGCAGUAUAGGUGGGAGGCGUUGAGAAUAUUCUUGCGGGAAUAUUGGAGCCAUCAGUGAGAUACCACUCUUGUAAUGUUAGAUUUCUAACUUUGCAUCAUUAUCUGGUCAAAGAACAGUUUCAGGCGGGCAGUUUGACUGGGGCGGUCGCCUCCCAAACGGUAACGGAGGCGUACAAAGGUUUCCUCUGAACGGGUAGAAAUCGUAUCUAGAGUGUAAAGGCAUAAGGAAGCUUGACUGUGAGACCUACAAGUCGAGCAGGGACGAAAGUCGGUCUUAGUGAUCUGACGGUGCUGAUUGGAAAGGCCGUCACUCAACGGAUAAAAGUUACUCUAGGAUAACAGGCUGAUCUCCCCCAAGAGUUCACAUCGACGGGGAGGUUUGGCACCUCGAUGUCGGCUCAUCGCAUCCUGGGGCGGUAGUACGUCCCAAGGGUUGGGCUGUUCGCCCAUGAAAGCGGUACGCGAGCUGGGUUCAGAACGUCGUGAGACAGUUCGGUCCAUAUCCGGUGUAGGCGUUAGAAUAUUGAGAGGAGCCUUCUUUAGUACGAGAGGACCGAGAAGGACAUACCUCUGGUGUACCAGUUAUCGUGCCAACGGUAAACGCUGGGUAGCUAUGUAUGGAGAGGAUAACCGCUGAAAGCAUCUAAGUGGGAAGCCCACCUCAAGAUAAGUAUUCC
Molecule: ribosomal RNA, 1240 nt
Filed under: metagenome
Description: bacterial LSU rRNA
Rfam family: Bacterial large subunit ribosomal RNA
Source: RNAcentral